Molecule: RNA transcript, 1586 nt
Organism: Piliocolobus tephrosceles (Ugandan red Colobus)
Lineage: Eukaryota; Metazoa; Chordata; Mammalia; Primates; Cercopithecidae
Gene name: methylmalonic aciduria and homocystinuria type D protein, mitochondrial-like
Exons: 4
Source: RefSeq, a predicted model, not a curated record
AUGUAUGGGGCAAAGGACCCUCUUGACGAUGUACAGUUUGGGAAAGGCCAGGCAGAGAGCGGGCUGAUCUUUGAGGAUCUUCUCUGUGGGUGCCCCUGCAUGCAACUCUUCUCCCCAGACAGAGGCCCAGAAUCGGGGUCUUCCUUCACAAAUAAGCCAGGUUCCAGGAGUGCUGCAGUUACCACCCAGGUGCAAGCCCAGCACAGGCCUCCUCUCAGCCAGCACUCAUCCGAAUCCACUCACACAUUCAGGUGGUUGUCCUCCUCGGUGAACUGGGAAGCAAUAAAGUCAAAAACAAAUACUGGAUGGCAGGAACAGUCAGGUUCUGGGACAGCUGGAGACAGUGGUGGUGACAGGAAUAACUUUACCAAAGGAAAGCUAUUUAGUGAACUGUCCUCUCCGGUAGAGUUGGCCAAUGUGCUUUGUAACAGAGCCAGACUGGUUUCCUAUCUCCCAGGAUUUUGCUCUUCAGUUAAAACGUUGUCAAUCCCAAAGACUUUUCGACUGCAGGAUCAUCAGGUUCGGAUGAGUCUCACGUGGCCACUGCACCUCCAGAUGUAUGCUCUCAAACAGUGUGGCCUGAUGAAACUGUGGGACCAUUUGGACCUCAAGAUGAGAGGUUCCAGCUUCCUGGGAACAUAGGUUUUGAUUGUCACCUCAAUGGGACUGCUUCACAGAAGAAAAGCCUAGUUUCUAACAGAAACUUCAUCAAGUGAAAGACACGAGUUUGUGAUGACACGAUAUGUGAAUGAAUUUCAGGGUAAUGAUGCACCUGUUGAACAAGAAAUUAACAGUGCAGAAACUUAACUUUGAAAGUGCCAGAGUACGGUGUGCAAUACAAACAUGUCCAGAAUUGCAGCGAAAAGAUUUUGAAUCACUGUUUCCAGAAGUAGCUAAUAGCAAAGUAAUCAUUCUGACUGUAACACAGAAAACUAAGAAUGAUAUGACUGUUUAGAGUGAAGAAGUAGAAACUGAAAGAGAAGUGCUCUUAGAAAAGUUCAUCAAUGCUGCUGAGGAAAUUUGCUGUGCUCUUUUAGCUGACGGAUAUUGGGCUGACUUUACUGACCCAUCAUCUGGUUUGGCAUUUUUUGGACCAUAUACAAACAACACUCUUUUUGAAACCCAUGAAUGCUAACAACAUUUAGGAUUCUGUUGAUGACCUUGGAUGCUGUAAAGUGAUUCAUCAUAGUCUCUGGGGUACCCGUGUAGUUGUAGGAAGCAUCUUCACUAAUGCAACACCAGACAGCCAUAUUAUGAAGAAAUUAAAUGGAAAUUAGCAGAAAUGUCCAUUCAUGUGCUGUAUUAUUUGUAUGUAAUAUUUGGGCUGAUCUAUAAAUACUGUCAGACUAAAGCUUUUAAAAUACACUUAUUUCUAAGUAUUUAUUUCAGCAUUUAUGAAUUUACAACAUUGGCAAGUGAUUUGGGAUUUUAAAAUUGCAAAUGUUCAUUAUUCAUAUCAUUGAAUACAUGUUGAGCACAUCCACAUUGUAUAGGAUGUGGUAAUUAGCUUGUAACCAGGGUAUUAUCUGUUAUUGUUAUUUCUCCCCUUUAUUGGAAAAAGUCCUCAGUUUUAAAUACUUUCUUCC